Molecule: non-coding RNA, 120 nt
Filed under: Lotharella oceanica
Lineage: Eukaryota; Cercozoa; Chlorarachniophyceae
Source: RNAcentral
UAUUUUCUUUUUUUUUUCCAACAUUUUUCUGUGAUUUCUCGUUUUUCUCCAAAACGAGAACAUGUUCCUGUGAUUUUUCGUUUUUCUCCCAAACGGAAAAAAAAAACCUUUAUUUUUUCU